UCUCCCCCACCCUAUCUUCCCCCUUCCGUGUUGCCAUGGCCCGUCGCUCCUUCGACCCCGGAUCCCAGUGAUGCCAUCUCCUGUGCGCCGCCUCAAUCCACCGCCCUCCCCCGCAGGCUCUUCCGCGCUGGCUUCCACGAGCUGGGUUGUUGCCUCCUCCCCUCCCGUGCACUAUCUCAACUUUUCUCCACAAAAAUGAUGAAAGGCAGCGGCUCAAUGCCUCCUUGGAACUCCACCCUGUUUAACUUCUUCCUCCUGAUUCCUUCCACUCUAAAUUAAUUUAGGGUCUGGGUGUGUAGUUUUUAUGGUGGGUGUGACGGAUCUUGGGGAGGUGAGGAGGACAUAGGUGGGAGAAGGACUGCGAGUCUGGAGAAUCUAGGCUGCACAUAUAAAUCCUCUCCAUCUUCCUCUCCCCUUUGACCCCUCCCCCCCAGUUCUCCAGUAAUCUGAUUUUGAUUUCUUCUGUUUUCGUAAGAACAAUGUGUGCAGAUCUGUAAAAGAAGAGAAGAGGAAGAAUCCCAAGGAAGAGUUUGGUGAAGAAGAAUAAGGUGACUAUGUGAGUUGCAUUGACAGAAUCCAUGUAUUAAGUUGGGGCAUUUUUGGCAGCUGCAGCAACCUGACAAUUCAUUUGUUCUCAUACAAGAUGCUUGUGAAGUACAUGGGGAAGGCGCGCAUGGUUGAUGAUUAUGUUCUGGAUUGGAGGCCGAAGCAAACUCCGUCAGGUUUCAGAUAAUUACUUCAGGUUAGGCGGGAGAAAUAAAAAGGGUAACCAUAGAUAUAUGGUGUAGCAUCAUGAGGUUCAGGUUCCUGCUGUUGAUCAACCGUUGCUUCGGUCGAGUGCGAACCCGGAUCAGUUGCUGCUCCAAACCAGACAAUUUGGAGGAUGAACGCUAGUCUCCCAGCGAUGCCAUGGAAGAAGAAAGUAUUCGCUCCAGACGUAGAUGUCUAGCUUGCCUGUGUGCUGUAACAUUAAUCAGUGCAUCGGGCCCAAAGUUUUCUAUCAUUGGAACCUUGAUGAUUUAUCUCAUUUGAACAUAAUCUAACCCCUCUGAUUUUUUUCAGUACAUAAUUGUACACCUUCUAUGCCCCGCUUAAUUGUGUGUUCAUUUUGUUAAUCAAGAAGCAUCUGAUUUUAUGGCUGGCGUGGUGCUCCAGCGCGACCGCUUCGUGUGCUGCCUCGAGUCGCAUGGCCACCAUGCCCGCGCCGAGGCGAAGGCCGCUGCCACUCUCAACGCCCUCUGCUGCGCGCUCUCGCCGGCGGCAUUUGCAAAGCCUUGUCGUGGCGCUGCAAGUGUUGCCCCCCUCCUCCCCAAGGGCAAGGUGAAGGAAGGUGCAUGUGUGGUUCUUCAGCAGCUCGCAGCGAGGAUUGCUGUGUCCAACCUGCAGAAGUAUGCCAAGAAGUUCUCGGAGAUGAUUAAGGACAUGUCCCCGCACUACAACGAGAGAUCUGAGCUGUUUGGAAGUUAGUUUAGGUUUUUGUUGUGGAUUCACAGCUUCUCACAUGUAUGAUCCUCUUAGACCUUUAGAUUUCCAAAGAAACUAAAUGAAGAUAUGGUGGUAUGGUCUCAAUAGUACAACUUAAAGCCUUCCAUGUUUUAUAUUUUCUUUGAAAUUUGCUCUUGAAGAAUUAUGUAUCUAUGUUAGAUCCGGUGAGAAAAGGCGGCUUUCAAGUAGAGGUUGCUGCAGUGUUGGCCA
RNA transcript from Triticum aestivum (bread wheat), 1695 nucleotides. RefSeq lists it as uncharacterized. Lineage: Eukaryota; Viridiplantae; Streptophyta; Magnoliopsida; Poales; Poaceae. The transcript has 8 exons. The record is from RefSeq and is a predicted model, not a curated record.